GCUCCAGUGGCCUAGUGGUUAGAGCGUCCGCCUUGGAUGAGGGAGGUCGUGGGUAUGAACCCCGGCCGAGUCA
This is a non-coding RNA of Potamilus streckersoni, 73 nucleotides long. Lineage: Eukaryota; Metazoa; Mollusca; Bivalvia; Unionida; Unionidae. The record is from the annotation of a GenBank genome assembly.